UAGGGAAUAUUGGACAAUGGGGGCAACCCUGAUCCAGCCAUGCCGCGUGAGUGAAGAAGGCCCUCGGGUUGUAAAGCUCUUUUGUCCGGAAAGAAAAGCUUCGGGUUAAUACCCCGGGGUUCUGACGGUACCGGAAGAAUAAGCACCGGCUAACUUCGUGCCAGCAGCCGCGGUAAUACGAAGGGUGCAAGCGUUACUCGGAAUUACUGGGCGUAAAGCGUGCGUAGGUGGUUGUUUAAGUCUGAUGUGAAAGCCCUGGGCUCAACCUGGGAAUGGCAUUGGNAACUGGGCAGCUAGAGUGCGGUAGAGGGUAGUGGAAUUCCCGGUGUAGCAGUGAAAUGCGUAGAGAUCGGGAGGAACAUCUGUGGCGAAGGCGACUGCCUGGACCAGCACUGACACUGAGGCACGAAAGCGUAGGGAGCAAACA
This 427-nucleotide ribosomal RNA is filed under the name uncultured bacterium. RNAcentral describes it as "bacterial SSU rRNA". It matches the Rfam family "Bacterial small subunit ribosomal RNA", at positions 355 to 774 of the family's 1533-position model. The record is from RNAcentral.